Molecule: transfer RNA, 86 nt
Filed under: candidate division WWE3 bacterium
Lineage: Bacteria; candidate division WWE3
Description: tRNA-Tyr
Rfam family: tRNA
About the family: Transfer RNA (tRNA) molecules are approximately 80 nucleotides in length. Their secondary structure includes four short double-helical elements and three loops (D, anti-codon, and T loops). Further hydrogen bonds mediate the characteristic L-shaped molecular structure. tRNAs have two regions of fundamental functional importance: the anti-codon, which is responsible for specific mRNA codon recognition, and the 3' end, to which the tRNAs corresponding amino acid is attached (by aminoacyl-tRNA synthetases). tRNAs cope with the degeneracy of the genetic code in two manners: having more than one tRNA (with a specific anti-codon) for a particular amino acid; and 'wobble' base-pairing, i.e. permitting non-standard base-pairing at the 3rd anti-codon position.
Source: RNAcentral
GCCGAGAUACCAAAGUGGUCAAAUGGAGCGGUCUGUAAAACCGUUGGCUUUUGCCUUCGAAGGUUCAAAUCCUUCUCUCGGCACCA